GAGGGUAUAGCUCAGUGGUAGAGUGCAUGCCUAGCAUGCUAAAGCCUUGGGUUCAAUUCCCAGUACCUCUA
Molecule: transfer RNA, 71 nt
Filed under: Camelus bactrianus (Bactrian camel)
Lineage: Eukaryota; Metazoa; Chordata; Mammalia; Artiodactyla; Camelidae
Also listed under: 2 other names
Rfam family: tRNA
About the family: Transfer RNA (tRNA) molecules are approximately 80 nucleotides in length. Their secondary structure includes four short double-helical elements and three loops (D, anti-codon, and T loops).
Source: Rfam by way of RNAcentral